GAUCGCGACGGUAUCGGAACGGCCGAGACGGCAUCGGACACCGGAGUAGUGACGGGAAGGUGAGAGAUCGAAAACGGGGAAAAAAAAAACGUUUUACUCGACGGAACGAUCACACACUACAGAGGAGGAGUGAAGUCUGAGGAGUGAGGACUACGACCGCCACGCGGCGUGUCGGGGGCGGGAGGGACACAAUGGAACAAGGUUGCCAGGCAGCCGAGAACAGCUGAGCCGACGUGUUGGUCGACUUGUCAUGUGCGCCGUGCGGAAAGACGAUAGUGUAUUUGCAG
Long non-coding RNA from Myzus persicae (green peach aphid), 287 nucleotides. RefSeq lists it as uncharacterized. The transcript has 2 exons. NCBI's taxonomy places the organism in Eukaryota, Metazoa, Arthropoda, Insecta, Hemiptera, Aphididae. The record is from RefSeq and is a predicted model, not a curated record.